GACGAACGCUGGCGGCGUGCUUAACACAUGCAAGUCGAACGGAAAGGCCCUGCUUUUGUGGGGUGCUCGAGUGGCGAACGGGUGAGUAACACGUGAGUAACCUGCCCUUGACUUUGGGAUAACUUCAGGAAACUGGGGCUAAUACCGGAUAUGAGCUCCUGCUGCAUGGUGGGGGUUGGAAAGUUUCGGCGGUUGUGGAUGGACUCGAGGGUUAUCAGCUUGUUGGUGGGGUAGUGGCUUACCAAGGCAUUGACGGGUAGCCGGCCUGAGAGGGUGACCGGGCACAUUGGGACUGAGGUAGGGCCCAGACGCAUACGGGAGGCAGCGGUGGAAAAUAUUGCACAAUGGGCCGAAGCCUGAUACAGCAGCGCCGGGUGCGGGAUGACGGUCUUCGGGGUGUAAACCGCUUUAGCCUGUGACGAAGCGUGAGUGACGGUAAUGGCUAAAGAAGCACCGGCUAACUACGUG
RNAcentral lists this ribosomal RNA (468 nucleotides) under uncultured bacterium. RNAcentral's name for it is "partial 16S ribosomal RNA". It matches the Rfam family "Bacterial small subunit ribosomal RNA", at positions 28 to 507 of the family's 1533-position model. The record is from RNAcentral.